RNAcentral lists this ribosomal RNA (460 nucleotides) under uncultured bacterium. RNAcentral's name for it is "partial 16S ribosomal RNA". It matches the Rfam family "Bacterial small subunit ribosomal RNA", at positions 338 to 795 of the family's 1533-position model. The record is from RNAcentral.
CCUACGGGAGGCAGCAGUGAGGAAUAUUGGUCAAUGGACGAGAGUCUGAACCAGCCAAGUAGCGUGAAGGAUGACUUCCCUAUGGGUUGUAAACUUCUUUUAUAUGGGAAUAAAAUGUUCCACGUGUGGGCUUUUGUAUGUACCUUAUGAAUAAGGAUCGGCUAACUCCGUGCCAGCAGCCGCGGUAAUAAGGAGGAUCCGAGCGUUAUCCGGAUUUAUUGGGGUUAAAGGGAGCGUAGGUGGAUUGUUAAGUCAGUUGUGAAAGUUUGCGGCUCAACCGUAAAAUUGCAGUUGAAACUGGCAGUCUUGAGUACAGUAGAGGUAGGCGGAAUUCGUGGUGUAGCGGUGAAAUGCUUAGAGAUCACGAAGAACUCCGAUUGCGAAGGCAGCUCACUGGACUGCAACUGACACUGAGGCUCGAAAGUGUGGGUAUCAAACAGGAUUAGAUACCCUAGUAGUC